GCAGUCGAGCGGAUGAAGGGAGCUUGCUCCCUGAUUUAGCGGCGGACGGGUGAGUAAUGCCUAGGAAUCUGCCUGGUAGUGGGGGAUAACGUUCCGAAAGGAACGCUAAUACCGCAUACGUCCUACGGGAGAAAGCAGGGGACCUUCGGGCCUUGCGCUAUCAGAUGAGCCUAGGUCGGAUUAGCUAGUUGGUGAGGUAAUGGCUCACCAAGGCGACGAUCCGUAACUGGUCUGAGAGGAUGAUCAGUCACACUGGAACUGAGACACGGUCCAGACUCCUACGGGAGGCAGCAGUGGGGAAUAUUGGACAAUGGGCGAAAGCCUGAUCCAGCCAUGCCGCGUGUGUGAAGAAGGUCUUCGGAUUGUAAAGCACUUUAAGUUGGGAGGAAGGGCAGUAAGCUAAUACCUUGCUGUUUUGACGUUACCGACAGAAUAAGCACCGGCUAACUUCGUGCCAGCAGCC
This 463-nucleotide ribosomal RNA is filed under the name uncultured bacterium. RNAcentral describes it as "bacterial SSU rRNA". It matches the Rfam family "Bacterial small subunit ribosomal RNA", at positions 57 to 516 of the family's 1533-position model. The record is from RNAcentral.